Molecule: long non-coding RNA, 3194 nt
Organism: Equus caballus (horse)
Lineage: Eukaryota; Metazoa; Chordata; Mammalia; Perissodactyla; Equidae
Source: Ensembl
CAGGAGCAGCCUCGGUAGGCAGGAUUGCUGUCCCAUGGGUUUCUACACCUUUCCUGGCUCUGUGGACAGCAUCACAAGUCCGAGAAGCUUUGGAAAGAGAGGCCAGUGCUAGGCUGUUUUAUCUGUUUGUGGGGGCUGGGGGUGAAUGAGAGGCCUUCUUGAGGUCUCUUCCAGCCAAGCACCUCCUGGAUAACCGCACUGAGUCGCUUCCCUUCAGAGCCUCAGUGAGCAGAAGCUAACAUUCCCAACAGGCAGCCUCAGUUUGAGCAGAGCCGAACAGCCCGACGGGCGGGCGAGGCCUGUCAUCCGUCCUGUCUGGCCACAUUCAUUCCGGGCUGUCCUGCUUUGUGGCUUCCUCACCACCACCCAAACUUGUCUGCAUGUCCUACAUCCAUCCAGAUCAGCAGAGAUGGCAGAAAUACUCCCUCAGGCCCUGCACACUCCUGGACGCACAGACCCGUCCUUCUUCUCAACAGGACUCCUGUCUCCUCCCGUCGCCCGUCCUCCAAGCCAGCCCUGAUUCCGACCGACGCUGCAAACACCUUGAAUGAGUCUGUUACCGCAAGAUGAGGGCCUCUUGCACCUGACUCCCUCGGAAUGCCCAUCCCUUGAUGCCUCCAGGCUCCAGCAGUGGAGGGUCGGGGAGCUCAGAUUUUAGAAAGGAUGGAGGAUCCUGGAAGAUUUCCUCCUCCUCGACCAGGGUUUAUCUCAAAGCAUGAAGACCAGGCAUGCUGUGGUUGGGCCAGCCAGGAUGCCAUUUACUCCACCAGAGGGAAGAGUCAAUGCACUGAGGACAAUUCCUGUAACUUUUCAGCACCUGAGGGUGUCGGAGAAGAAUGUGGUGAGACCAUCCAUCCAUGCUUCUGUGUCUUAUCCUCCCUGGACAUGCCAUCCGUGGACUUCAAAUCCGUCUCCGUGGGAAGCAAGCCCCAGGUUGUGCGUCUAUCGCAAACCGCGUCUCCAUCUUUGCGAACCAAGCUCAGUUUACUUUCACGUAUACAAAUGGGGCUGCUGGCCAGAGGCCUCCCAGGGAUUUCAGCGCGUGUGCUACUGACAGCAAUUCUCUCUCUCACUGAUUUAGAACGUCCACCUUGGUAUGGCAUGCAUCUACUUCUUAACCUUUAUUUACUUUGAAUGUUGAUCCCAGCACACCAUUUGCAGAAAACACAAAGGUGUUUCAAAAGAGCUGACAGGACCUAGUGGCUUGACACCCAGGUCUCCUGUCUUACCGGUCAACUAAGAGUAGCAGCAAUGCAGCUGAUGGAAAUAUCACGCCCAUGAGAGUCAGACCAACUGGUUAAACUCUUGGCUCUGCCAUGUGGAAGCUGUGUGGCUUAGCACUGAUUUCUACUGGGAACAAGUUUCUACUCCAUUCCCACGCCACAGUCAGAGAGUUGAGGGGGCAAAUAGGUCUUUACCCGGAAGCCCUGGAAACCUGAUCGCACGGUUGGCUGUGUGCCACCUGGUGGUGGAAAGAGCUUCUUCCCAAAUGUCAUGAGAAGCCUCAGGAGGACAGUUUGGGGUAAUCUGAAGUCCAUAUUCCCACCUGUAACCCGUGAGACUGAGUCAAGACCAGCUGACCUUUGAAGCAGAAAGAUCAUGUAUAAAUCUGAUUCUCCGUGACAUUUCGGCCCAGACCAGAGCCCACGAGAAAACUUCAGGCGCUACAGCUGCAGAGCUGUAACCCCUCUCCUGGUGGCACAGCACUUCUGCCACAGUGCUGGUCCCUAAGGGAAGAGGACCAUCAAGAGAAUAAGCCGCAGUCGACAGGGGGACGUUCUACAGCAUUGACAGUGGAGACCGUGCCAGGGGACGGCCAGAAACUGCAGGGAACAUGGGGCCAAGGUGGGCCCUCGAUGACUCUCUUCUGCCUCUGAGGCAAAGCCACUCAUACGAUGCCCAGCAGCAGGGGGCUGGCAUCCUUUGGGUCAGGGGUCCUCUCAGCAGCAGGCAGAGCCAUUCAGAGUUCAAUCUCCUAAAGACAUUCUGUUCCAGGUUCAAAUCUGGUUCUGCUACUCAUCAGCUGGGGGACCCAGGCAGGUGGCGUAAUCGCUUUGUGUCUCAGUUUCCUCAUCUAUAGGAUGGGGGUAUAUUAGUUUCUUGUGGCUGCUCUAACAGAUUUACAAUUUGUAUAGAAAAUUACCACCUACUCUGUAUGUGGUACCAGAAAUUUGUUCUUUCACAAUUCUGGAGACCAAAAGUCUGAAACGAGAGUCCCUCCAGAGCUCCAGAGGAGCCUGCUUUUGUGGGGGGACUGGAAUUGGCCACCCCAAGAUAUGUCUCUUUGGCAUGAGGAUUAUUUGGGGCUAAUUGCUUUGAUAAACUGGGACAGGGAAGGAGGCUCUGAGGGGUGGAACUUGCUUGCCCUUUGUUAGGACACAUUUACAUUGUAAAGGAAAUCUCUACCUGUAAAUGUGCCUCCCUCUCUGUACCAGGAAGAAGAAAGGGGAUGACCUUCUCUCUAGAAACUCUUAAUCAAUACCAAAGGCAAGGACUUAAAUCUGCAUUUGUUUAUUGUGCUUGUCUGGUAACCUCCUGUAACUGACUCCCCCCACCCCCAGCAUCCUCCUUUGUCUUUAGCUGGAUAUGAUAUUUGGGGUGGUGGUUUCGGCCAUUUUGGCAAGUUGCUUGGCUUGCCUGAGCCUCUCCCAUGUAUACAUUGACAAAUAGAAAUGGCAAGCAAUAGGAUAUAUUGGAGUACAUGAGGAAGCCAUUUGGUGUAAGCCUAAUUCGGCCUGACUUUGCUAUUUUUUCCAAAAGGGCCUGACUGUGGCCAUUGAGCACGCAUUGUAUAUCUGCUUUAAAACAUGUACUAUGGCAAGAACAAAGGCCCUUGAGAUAAAGGUGCAACUUCCCUCUCCCUCCCAAUGUUGGCAUUUCCUUAAGGAUUAAGCAUCUUUCCUUAGGCUAGGAACUGAUUGCUGCGCUCACCUGUGACCACCCAGCUUGAGACAAUAGACUUGCCUCCUGCUACGCCCUCCAAGAUAGCAGACCCACUACCUGCUGUGUCGAUCAAGCGCUGUGCCGACAGGGCAAUCUUGUGACUAUUGUGGGAGGGACAUUUCAAUCAUAUGUGAAACAGCCUGUUUGGGGGUAUAUAACCACUCUGUGCACCCCACUUCUUCGGUGCCCUUUCUUCCUUCGGGAACAAAGGCCUCGGGCCAUGGUCCUCAUAAAGCUUUGUUUCAUUUUCU